Molecule: long non-coding RNA, 16188 nt
Filed under: Sorghum bicolor (sorghum)
Lineage: Eukaryota; Viridiplantae; Streptophyta; Magnoliopsida; Poales; Poaceae
Description: long non-coding RNA (SBIC_LNC000970)
Source: RNAcentral
AGGUCAGGACAAGAAGAAGACGACGCAACCGUAACCAGAGAAGGCAAAAUCAUCAAGGACGGAUGGGUAGACUAUGAAGGAGAAGUUGUAAGGUCUGAAGACAUACAACUUGAACAGAACUAUCCUGAGGAGACCGUAGCACCGAGUUAGGUGUGUAGAGAGAAGAUAGUUAUACAUGAAGAGCAGGCGCCGCCGGAACCACCGACUACGCCAUCCAACGAAUCCCAGGACGACUGAGAAAACAGAGGGUCCCGUUCGGAGGACUUAAAAACACCGAACGCCUUGCCAAGAGGUAAACUUGGUAGUUAUCCUUUCCCUUUCAAUUAUUUUAAAAUGGUUUGCUUAGUUAAUCAGGUUCAUAUCAUCUUGAAAAGAAAAUAAAAAUAGUAAGCCCCAUGUGAUUAUGCUCAUGGCAUAAAACCCAUAAGUACAUUCACUGUGGUGGCAUAAAAAUGAAAUAAAUAUAUUCCUGUCCUAUAAAAAUAAAAUUGUAAAAAUAAGAUUGUGAUCCUACUAAAGAGUGUAACCUAUAUUGAGGAGGCUCAACAUGAUAAAGGCUAAAUAUUUAUGCUAACACUUAACUAGUUCCACAAAGCUUUGUUGUCUAUUUGAGCUCCAUAGAAUUCAAGGAUCAAAGAAGACUAGCAGACGGAGGACAUCCUAACCGCUGUCAGGAUGCUGCCGACAUUCAAAUACACCUCCGUCACCUGCUAGCUACAUCAGAAGAAAUUACGUCAAAAUCCAGCUUGGGGGAGAGCACUCCCAUUUAUCCAGCUAAGUGUUCUACUCAUGUUUAUACUUUACUCUAAUAAUAAAAAGAUGCAUAAUCAUAAAAACCCAAAUAAAGAUUUUUUGCUUAUAUCUUUGCUUAGUUUGCUAAAUAAAUAAAUAAAGUUUGCUAUGAACCCUCAUGAUAAGCUCUCACAUGGAAAUGAUGAAUAGUUGCUCUGCCAUGACUAAUUCUCAAAAUUGAAAUCUCUCUCAAGUUUAUGCAUGACUGGUAUUAAUUAAGAUUUUCUCUCAAACUGAACUUGUGGGGAGAGUACUUGAUCUAAAAGUCUAAGUCGUUAACGGAUAUGAUAUGGGAAGGUUGAGCUGCUGUUUAUCUGUUCCUAGAGAUGCUAGAAUUCUGGAGAAUUUUAUCUUUGAAAACCUUUAAAAUGUUGCAUGAUGAGUUCCUGUAUGAUGAGAGUUUAAAUUCCUACCACAGCCAUAUAUACAUGCUUGCUAGACUUUGAGCCACACAAUUAUCUUUUUACUGCUUAUGAGCAUUGAGUGUGGUCAAGCUGUAGACCCUUACGAGCUUGUCAUGUGGUUAAAUCAAGAUUCACUUGCACGUUCACUCAGACAUGCUGCUUCUACUCUGGAAGUACGCAUCCACAUAUAUCCACUCAUUUCCGUCUCCAGAACCACCCAAAAAUAUUCUACUCCUAAUCCGAGAGAGAAUAGCCAAAAAUAUUUCUGUUUUUCCCCUAUGAAAUAAAUGCUCAAGUUAUCUUGGUUACUACCACUUGCUAUAUUAUUUCAGGAAAUGAGUGCUCUGAAAAAAAAGUGAAUACGAGGAAAUAAAAAGGGGCAAAUGCCCGGAACCUCGAAAGAAAAGAAAAAGUGACACGAGAGGUAAAAAUAGACAAGUGUCCGAUAGUAGAAUUAGGGGUACAAGAUACCCACCUGAGAGGAAAGAAAAAAAUACAGAGCAUCUCAUUCUCCCCAAAAGUUUCAAAAGAGCAAGAAAGGUAUGUAUCCUCUCAAAAGAGCAAAAGUAGAAUUAGACUUUCACCAUUGUUAUCACCAUCAUCACCAUACACCAUUCAUUCGCCACACAUGCACAUCUUGAUUUGACUUAUUGACUUGUUCUUCUGGAUCCAUGGUUUGACUAUGGAAUAAAUGUCUUGUAAGUAUGUAUUAGCUGUCUCCCACCUAUGAGCUCCAGAUAUCAAAAGCCUUAUUAGAGUAGGGUGAGAGAGAAGGCAAUGCCACUAUGCCUUAUACCACAAAUACCACAUACUUUGAGAGAAGGCAUAUACCAUCACUGCCUUGGUAAGGAUCCAGAAAUACCACAAAAGAGAGACUAGAGAGAGUCAUACAAGGAAUCUCUGAGUUUUAUUUGAAAAUCUGCAAAAACUCCAGAGCUAUAGUUAAUCGAAGAACAAGAGACAUGGUGCUUGACUAGACUGUUCUAUCUUUUAACUGCUCAAGACACAAGUGACGGUUACAAGCCCCAUGGUGGAAGGUAAAACGAGUAAGUUUAAAUCUUAACAGUUUACCCUAACCCAGAUAUGAGAUCUUGUUUGAACGCAUGUGUAUCUUUAAGGUAUGAAACCACUGAAGAAACUCUUGAGUUCAUCUUUGCUCAGGGACGAGCAAUGGUUAAGCUUGGGGGAGCUUGUUGACGGUCCUUAAUGCUCAUAUUUAACCAUCAACUAAUCAUGGAAAAGGAUCCAAAUGCAACCAACACCCAGACUUAGGGUUUUAUCUCAUAGAAUUCCAAGAGUUUUGGUGUUUGUCUAUUUCUGCAGCGGGUUAUCUGGAAAUACGGAGGAAAGGCCCACACGUCGGGUUUACAUAGAGAUAUUAACGUGCCGCGCAAUUUUCUAUCAUCUAGAAGACUCCAGAAGCCACGAGAACGAAGCGGAGGCCGAGAGGGCUCAGGCACAGGGCGCCCGCCCUAGUCCUGAGGGCGCCCGCCCUGCUACAAUGCUCAAUCAGAGUCCAAUUCGGGGACAACGCUCCACCGACCUAAAGGAUCAAGGAAAACCAUGUGAUUAAUGUCGGUUUGAUCCAACGGCCCAAAUUCAUCUGAAAAGACUAUAUAAGAAAGGCCCCCUGGCCCCUGGACAUCAUACCUCUUCUACAGAAUCAAAGUUAGGGUUUCAAUUCUUCAUCCAAGUAGAGAGGAUCCCUCUAGUUCUUCUAGUUCUACCUCUAGUUCAUCUAGAUCUAGUUCUAGUUCAUCUAGUUCUAGUUCUAGUUCCUCUAGUUCUAGUUCUAGUUAGUUCUAGUUGUAAUCUAUAAAAUAGGGAGAGAGAAGAGGAGAGCGGAGGAGGAGGAGCCGGAUCUGUCGGAUCUUCCUCAACAUUGUACUUUUGCAGCAACUGGUUCAUUCUUCAUCGUUCUCCAGGUUCUUCAAUUCAUAAUUCCUGAGUUCUCUAAUUACUUUUAUUUACAUUCAAGUUAUUUAUUGGAUUCCUGCUUGCAUCAAGUGCUCUAAUCUUUGAAACAUUAGAGUAGUAAUUAAUAGAUUAGACGUGGUGUUUAGUCUUGCAAUUACCUAGAAUUGCACCCAAUCCUGCGGAUUGUUGUGGUAGCCUUAGGGUAGUGACAGCCCUAACGGUCGAUGUAUUCCACCUCGUUUAGAUCGGUGUUUGUAGGACCGUAGUCGGAGCUUCCUAGCCCCCUUCUCAUCUCUUUCUGUGGUUAGUGUUCUGAUGUCCCGAAAUAGAUAAUCUUGAAGUAAUUCUUGAUUCUUAGAUCAACUAGAGAACUCUUAGGAAACUUCCUCUCUUCCCACCAAAAAUAAUUAUAUAGUUAUCCUUGGGUGAUCUUGGAUCUUAAUUAGUACACUCACAUUCUCUGUGGAAAAUCGAUACUCUGGAAUACUCCCAGGUGAAAGCUACAUCGGUAUCCGUGCGCUUGCGGAUUUUUCUGUUUGCGUUUAAAAUAUCCAACAGGCAGCCGGCCCCACCCUGGGGCCGGUCGGUGCCCUGUUUCGUCCGAUGCCCGUCGCCUUCUGGAGUCUUCCUCCCUCGCAUCCUUGGAAGCCAAGCAAAGUAUCCCUCCAUCGAUUUUAAGUCAGUUUGCUCCGACGGUGCACACAAGAUGAAGACGUGGGUCGCUGACGUGGCGGUUCCUUGCCCCCCUACUCCACCUCGGCCUAUAUAAGGACGCCCAAUGCUCCCCCAAGAGGCAUUCUACACCCCGGCGCUUCAUAUUCUCCACAUAAUUAGGGUUAGGGUCCCUAUAGUUGAUCUAGUUCUAGUUGAUCUAGAUCUAGUUCAUCUAGAUGUAGCAAUUAGGAGAGACUAGUUCUUCUAGAUCUAGUCUUGUUUAGAGAUUAGAGUGAUUAAGUAGAGGAGUAGAGAUUCUAGAGGAGUUCUGUCAUGUUGGUGCUUCUUCAUGGGUGUAUUCUUCUGGAUUCAGUUCCCUCGGCCGGAGCUGCGUUCUCAAGUACUUUUGUACUUACCCUUCUGAUUUAAGUAUGUAACUUGUUCUUAUUCGUUCUUUGGUUCACAACUCAUAUUGAGUGCUUUGAUCUUGGUCGUAACUUGGUCGAAGUAGUAUUUUGUAGUGCAGGCGUGGUGCCUAGGCUAGGUUUACUUGUGAAUGUCCCCUGAUCAGCCGAUCAGUGGUAGUUCACGUAGGUGACUUUAUAGCUGCGUUGAUUCCUCUGUAGUCCACUUCCCAUUGAUAGGACUGAUAGGCUUAUAGGUGCUUGGUAGGACAUUACUCUGAUUCUUCUCCUAUUCGGGGUUAGACGAUAUUAUACAAAGUUUACUGAGUCAAAACCAGAGUGUAUUAGCUAUUUCCUUUUUCUUGAUAUGAUCUAGCCUAAGUCUAUAUACUAUGUCAUCAUCACAACUAUUCCCUGUGUAUACGAUAUUUAAAACCUCCGGGUAAAAUGUGACACUGAUAUGAUAUCUAUGCGCUUGCGGAUAAUCUUACUUAAAUCUAUUUAAAUGGAGUGCAGUUAAUUUAUACCAACACCGAGCCAAUAGGGCCAUCCCCGCCCAAGAAUGCCUCAUCGACAACCGAGACCCUCAGGAUGCAUGCCACGACACCAACAAAAACCGAUGGCACAAGUGCGGGAGCCAAGAAUUGAGGCUACAACGUGCAUCAAGGGGGACGCUGUGACAGCGACAAGGACUGUAGGGCUCUCGAGCUACCAGGGCAAUCCGUAGCACGCAGUUGCCUAAUCCCUUUUGACUGCCUACAAGCAUCAUUAAAUACAAUGGUGAAACCAAGCCCAAGCUCUAGCUCACCGAUUUCCAUCUCACCUGCCAGUUGGGCGGAGCUCGAGGCGAUGACUGCACCAUCAUUGAUCAGUUUCCCCUAUUCCUCUCCAACAUGGCUCGCAGGUGGCUUGAGGAACUCCAUCCCAACCAGAUCUACAGUUGGGCCAACCUAGUUCGGGUCUUUGAGGGGAACUUCAAGGGAACCUAUGUCGGUCCCCAGCAAAUCAUGGGACCUCAGCAAGUGCAAGCAGUGUCCUAGGGAGUCCCUCCAUGACUACACGCAAUGCUUCUCCAAGUAGCACACCAAGCUCCUACACAUCCCUAACCAUGAUGUCAUCCUACUAUUUGUUUCUGGCACCACCUGUAGGGAGUUAGUUUGGGAACUAGGGCACAACCACCCAAAGACCAACGAUGAGGUGAUGGACGUGGUUGCCAACUAUGUAGCGGGUGAAGAAGUAGUUGGAGCAUUCUUCAAUGAUGGGAAGGACAAGGCAUAGGAACAAGCGGAUGGCAGCGAGGGCCUAAGUAAGGGCUCCAAGAAGAAUAGCAAGAAGAAGAAGAAGGUCCAGCAAGGCAAGUAGGAGGCUGCGGAUGAUGAUCUCAUCACUGCGGUUGAGCGCAAGAAACCUCGAGGUCCCCCUGAGGGGGCUAUCUUCAACAAGAUGUUGAAGGAGCCCUGCUCUUAUCACAAGGGAGGGGCCAACCACAAGCUUGAGGAUUGCCGCAUGCGCAAAAACUACUUCAACAGCUUGGCCUUCAAGAAGGAUUACCAGAAAAAGGACAAGGGUGGCGACAGAGGUGACGAUAAAGAUGACAACAAGUUCCUCGAGGUCCUCGACUGCUACAUGAUCUAUGGCGGCCCCUCGACAUAGCUCAUGUCCUUAUAGCGCAAGAGGGAGCAUCGAGAGGACUUCUCGAUUCGGGUGGCUACACCCUAGUACCUCGACUAGUCUAAUGCGGCCAUCACAUUCGACCAUGAUGACCAUCCAGAUCACGUCAUCAAUCGUGGUGUCUACCCGCUCGUCGUUGACCCAAUCAACGUCAACAUUCGCCUCUUGAAGUUGCUCAUGGACGGUGGCAGCUGUCGACACUAGCUAACACCACUUGAAUACUAGGUUGUCAUCCUUAGCAUGGUGCCAGAGUGUACAAAGGUAUUUAUGAAUGUAAAGGCUCUCUAGAAAAUAAUCUAUUCUACCGCAAGCGCACGGAUAAAACACCUCAUUGUAGCAUUUCACCAGGAAAGUAUUCCAGGUAUCGUUAUUUAUAAUUUUGCUUAAGAGGACAGUGGAAAUGAAGAUAAGGAUAAAAUCUAUCAAGGCAUAGACUAGAGAUAAACUUGCAAGAACAUGAUUACUAAUGAGGAACUCGUCACACAGUCACUUACUUUGGCAGGGGGUAAGCCAUAAUAAUAAUGAUAAUGAAAUAUAAGCUCAUGGGUAAAUAACACAGCGAUUAGAAAAUAGACUACUCCUUAUAUAUGUAAGGUGACGUUGGAUUAGCUACAGAAUGGAUUCUAAGUUAUCUACUAUCUACUAAGUCACAAUCUACUCUAGUUAUCUACAAGAUCAUAUAUAGCAUAAAAGACUCUUCAUUCAUGCAUAAGGAACAUUGCUAAAGUAAAUCAGAGCAUCGCAAGACUUACUCCGCAAAACAAAUUCUGCGUGUCCUAUCAAUGGAGGGUGGACUAUAUAAGAAUCAACGAAGCUGUCACUAUCGCGAACUACCACACAACCCAGCCAAUAGGAUACAUUUGCAGGUAAAUAACAUCUAAGCACCACGCCCACAUGUGAUCUACCACUUAACUCCCGCGCGUCAAGAGCUAAGCGCUUUGCAAACUUUUACAUAAACUCAUUAUCAAUCAUAACUAUAUCAAAUAUAGAACUAGAGCAAACUAAGAUCAUAAUAAAUAGAGACAUAAUGCAAUUAGAAUAAAGUAGUAGAGAAAGAUAUGAAAUAAUACCAAUCUUUAUUAACGAAGAUCCGAAUCCAGAGCGCUAGGAUCUACUUCUCUAAUUCUAUCUAAUCACCUUUAUUCCGGAGUUUUGCAUAAGUUUUCAAAAAUAAAGCUCAGAGUUCCUAGCUAUGAUUCUCUCAAGUCUCUCUAUAUGUGGUAUUUAUGGAUCCUUACAAAGAUGUCACCUACCUAUAGCUAAUGGAAUAUUUAAGUGGAGCUCAUAGGAGUGAAAAACAGCUUAUACAUAUGUUGUCUAAUCGAGCCAUGGAUCCAAAGAAACUCAGCAUAUAAUUAAAUCAAGAUGUGCAUGUGUGGUGGAGUAAAUGAUAGUAAUGGUGGAAAUAUAAGUAAUGAUAAAACUUACUUCUCAUUGCUCCUCAUAUUGCUAUCUUUCCUCUUCUUUGAUCUUUACUUUGGGAGAACAUGGGCUAUCUUUUCUUCUUUUCUUUUUUUUCAGGUGGGUAGUAGAUACCCCUAAUUCUACUAUCGGACAAUUGUCCAUUUUUUCCACUCAAGUGGGCAUAUUUGUACGCCUAAUUCGACUCCGGACACUUGUCUAUUUUUACCUAUCGUCUCACUCUUUUUCUUUCUUUUUCGAGGUUCCGGGCACUUGUCCCUUUUUAUUUCCUCGCAUAUUUUUGCAUAACCCAUGCCUCUUCCGCAUUGAAUCUUUUUGGAGAGAGAGAAUAACAACACUUGGGACAGUGAGUGAUAAUAUUUUUAGCAAUUUUUAAUGAAUGGUGGUGAAUGGUGUAGUGGAUGUGUGCAAGUGAAUAUCUUAAUUUAACCACAUGAAAAGCUCCUAAGGGUCUACACAGCUCGAUCAAACUCAAUGCAAAUAUAAGUAGCAAAAGAUGUUAUAGCAAGUAUGGCUGUGAUAGGAAUUUUGUCAUGCUAGGAACUCAUCAUGUGAUUUGCAAGUUUUCAAAAUAAAUCUCCAGAACUUAGUGUAGUAGGAACAAGAUAAAUAGUAGCUCAAACUUUAUAUCAUGCCUUUCUCUUACCUAGACUUUAGUUUUAGGUUCAUGCUUCCCAUAAAUAUUAAAUUUUAGUUUUUAGUAAUUCCUGGAAGAACUCUAAUAUAAAAGCUAGGUACUCAAAAGUAAGCAAACAGAGCAACUCUUCAUCAUUUCCAUCAUGCAUCUUUUUGGUCUUUCAUUUUUCUAGAGAUUAACUUAGCAGGAAAAAUAAAGCACACUUAUCUACACACUCUUUUUAUGUGGUUUGUAUUUUUAUAGAAUGCAGUAAAUUAAGCAAGAAAAAUAUUUAUUGGUUUUUCUAAGUUUUUCUCCUUAUGAUAAAUAAAACACUAAAUUAGAAAAGAAUAAAUAAGAAGGGCAAAUAAAAAUUACUUGAUAAAAUGGGGAGAAACUCCCCCAAGCUGGAUGUUGUUGUCGGUCUUACACAAAGUUCUAGAAUCGCAUCAUGGUGGUGAUGUUGUCGUUCAUUGUCGUGGUGUCUUGCCUUAGUUCUUGCACUGCAGUGGCGUGGUCCUAGUUCCACUUUUGUUGCUGUUCCAGAAGUCGUCCAUGUUCCGCUUGCGUAUUCUGGAUGUCGAGGAGGGUGUUGUUGGUACGGGUGAAGAAAGCGCCGGCCUCUUGGUAGUAGUCGUUUGUGAAAGCAUAAGAGGCGUCGGAGUACCGUCCUGCAUCGAAUUGGGGCGGGGGUCUAGACCUUGAAGCUCCAUAUGGAUCAGUGGAGUACUUGCCCGUAUGGAAAGGCGGGUUUGUCCACUGGUGAUCUUGGCACUCCGACCAUGUCUCCUGUGUUGGCUCUUGUGGUUGAGCAUGUCGAACCCAUGGGUCCCGAAGGACUCGGAGGUUGUAUUCUCAAUAAUGCAGGUGCGCUGCUCCUUCUGGCCCGGGAUCAGCUCCAUACCAGGUGCGUUCUUGAUGGGUGGUCAUCCUUUUAGAUGCCACUCGUUGUGGAGCUCUCUGGUUUACCGGUGUCACUGCAAUCUCAGUCAAAUAAUUUUGAACGACAUAGAGGCCAAGGUUCGGGUUAGGUAACCGAAUCUUGCCUUUAUUAUUGUAUAACAUAUACAUUAUGUUCCCCUCUUUUUUGAACAUCCGAGCUUGCCUAAAUGUGUCAUAACCAUGAUAAAUUCGUAACUCGUCUAUGAAUUCCAAUGAUGAGUUUUCUAGCAAAUUAAGAUUAGAGGCUAGACGAGUGACGAGUGAAGUACAACCGACAGGUCCCUGAAGACUUGGUAUACUAAGCCAAUGAGAAACCAAAAGAGUAACAGGUGAAGUAGGUGUUUUAUUUAUAGCAGCAUAUAGAAGUUGUAAAUCUCCUACUCUUACUUUUCUAAUAUCAUCACGAUGGAAAAGAUUGUACCCGAGCCACUGUUGACGGUCCUUAAAGCUCACAUUUAACCGUCAACUAAUCACAGAAAAGGAUCCAAAUGCAACCAACACCUAGACUUAGGGUUUUAUCUGACAGAAUUCCACGAGUUUUGGUGUUUGUCUAUUUCUGCAGGGGGUUAUCAGGAAAUACGAAAGAAAGGCCCACACAUCGGGUUUACAUAGAGAUAUUAACGUGCCGCGCAAUUUUCUAUCAUCUAGAAGACUCUAGAAGCCACGGGAACGAACGAGAGGCCGAUCGGGCCCGGGGGCAGGGCGCUCGCCCAAGUCCCUUGGGUGCCCGCCCAGCUACAGUAACCAAUCAGCUUCAAGUUCGCGGAUCGUGCUCCACCGACCUAAGGGACCAAGGAAAACCGUGCGAUUAAUGUCGGUUUGAUCCGACGGCCCAGAUUCAUCUGAAAAGACUAUAUAAGCAAAGCCCCCUGGCCCCUGGAGAGCAUACCUCUUCUACAGAAUCAAAGUUAGGGUUUCAAUUCUUCAUCCAAGUAGAGAGGAUCCCUCUAGUUCUUCUAGUUCUACCUCUAGUUCAUCUAGAUCUAGUUCUAGUUCAUCUAGUUCUAGUUCUAGUUCUUCUAGUUAUAGUUCUAGUUCAUUCUAGUUGUAAUCUAGAAAAUAGGGAGAGAGAAGAGGAGAGCGGAGGAGGAACCGGAUCUGUCGGAUCUUCCUCAACAUUGUACUUUUGCAGCAACUGGUUCGUCCUUCAUCGUUCUCCAGGUUCUUCAAUUCACAAUUCCUGAGUUCUUUAAUUACUUUUAUUUACAUUCAAGUUAUUUAUUGGAUUCCUGCUUGCAUCAAGUGCUCUAGUCUUUAUAACGCUAGAGUAGUAAUUAAUAGAUUAGACGUAGUGUUUAGUCUUGCAAUUACCUGGAAUUGCACCCAAUCCUACGAAUUGUUGUGGUGGCCUUAGGGUAGUGACAGCUCUAACGGUCGACGUAUUCCACCACGUUCGGAUCGGUGUUUGUAGGACCGUAGUCAGACCUUCCUAGCCCCCUUCUCAUCUCUUUCUGUGGUUAGUGCUCUAAUGUCCCGAUAUAGAUAAUCUUGAAGUAAUUAUUGAUUCUUUGAUCAAUUAGAGAACUCUCAGGAAACUUCCUCUCUUCCCACCAAAAAUAUUCAUAUAGUUAUCCUUGGGCGAUCUUGGAUCUUAAUUAGUACACUCACGUUCUCUGUGGAAAAUCGAUACUCUGGAAUACUCCCGGGUGAAAGCUACAUCGGUAUCCGUGCGCUUGCGGAUUUUUCUGUUUGCGUUUAAAAUACCCAACAAGCUUUCUGGCGCCGUUGCCGGGGAACGGUAGCUGUGCUAGUUUCGAACCAAGUCGCCCGUGUAUCCUUUUUCUUUUCGUUUUUUUUACCACACUCACCGUACCAUUUUCACCGUACCACAUGGAUUUCACUCUAAGCAUUAAUGAGCAUGGAAUUUAUUUCAUAGCCACUUCAUUUACUACAUGCUCAUAUGCAACAUCUUCACAAUCCAUUGGUCUCUCCAACAUCACCACAUUCGAGAUCUCCAACCCCCUCUUCCUUUCUAUUCAUAAAAACUUUAAAAGGGCGGUUGUCGAUGCAUAUGUCUAUAUUAAAUAUUACAGAUCUCGUUGAGUUGAUCUUGAUAUAGGUCAGCGUUGGAGGGGUAACCACUUCGCCGACAUAAAUUGAUGGUUUCCCAAGGACAACCUUAGUGUCCUCAAACAAGCACUGAUCAGAUUGUAACAUGAGCUUAUAAUUAUUUGCAACAUUACCUUGUGAGUUGAGCAUAUAAGGAUAAUUGUAAAAAUAUUCCUUCGGGUAUUCUUGUCGCUAACCUUUCCAGGAUUGGAGCAAGAAGAUCGGAUGAAUGACAAGUACAAGGUAUGUCCAACCAAUCAUCAUACAACAUUGAAUUAAAUUCAUCCAAACUUGAAUUUUGCAAAAUUCAAGCUUGGGGGAGUACUUUACAUAAAUACAUCCUUUGCCAUGUUGCUAUGUUGGUUGUCCCUACCUUUGAGACAUGCUCAAUUUGUUAAAUACUAAUCACACUACUUCAUCUCCACUUGAGUAGAUCUCUAUAAAUGCUCUCAUGCUACCUUUAUUUGCUUUAGUAUAUGUCUAGGCUUGGAGUAGUUUCUUUUAUCUCUUAAUUAAGCAUGGUGCUUAGUUUAGGGCUGAUGAUCUUACUUCCAAAGGAUUUGAAAUUAAGCAUGGUUCUUAGGUUAAAAUUCCCUCCUAAAUCAAAUUAGACAUGGUGUCUAGGUUGAUCUUUGAGCCGAUAGAAUGCUAUAGUAGAUAUUGGAUAUUUUGUUGGACUAACCCCUGCAGGAAAACUUUCAAUAUCGACCUGGGAAGUCCUGAGACAAACUCACAUUGGAGACAAAGAGAGAGACACAUGAAGUUUAACAAUUUACACAAGGAAGACAUAGCUCACAAGAGAUGAUCCAUAGAGGGUGCCACAAACACGAUGCACAACCGCUAAGAAAGGAAAGCUUCCACAAGGUGAUACUGUACCAUCACUCUUCAAGUAAGGUAAUAUCUUAAGGUACUUGACUAUCACUUUUAUAAGUUUCUCCUUGGUUCUAGCGUUCACAUGAAUAAAGAGACAAACAUGUAUGAUUUACAAGUCUUGAUUAACCAACCCAAUAGAUUCAACAUGUUUAGUCCUUCCACCUUUGUGAUCCCACACUCCUAAUCUUAUGAACUAAAAUGUUGCACACUCAAUCUUUGGAAGAUAUAUUUUAUAAAAAAACAACAUAAAUAUAGAUAUAUUAUCUUUCCAUUAGGUUGAGCGAAUUGAUCUGACAAAUGUUUUAAAUGUUAUACUCAUGAUCUUAUUAUCCAUCAACUCUGUCUUGCUCACUAUGCUUAAGGUUAGAGAAGAACAAAUACACUUUUGGUUCUGUUGGUGUUUUCCACCAACAAGGCCCAUGCACUUGAUCUCUGCCUUGUCUCUAUGAGCAGGUACACUUCGAGCAAAAAUAUGAAGGACUUUUACAACUCCCAGACUCCACUAAGUAAAGAACCUAGAUCUACGAGCACAAACACACUGGAGAUACUGGACACUCAGGCAAUCACUGCCCAGUGAUGCUUGAGGACGUAACUACUGGAGUAACCCCAUUGUGGAAGUAAUUACUGACCUUCUGCCGGUCAAGAGAGACAAUCGAGGACGCCCCGUCAUCCCGAUCUCCAUCGGCAUGGUGGACUUCCCAGAAGCACUCUGCGACUUUUGCUCCAGUGUCAACAUUAUGCCUAGGGGAAUAUUGAAGAACCUCUGCGUCCGAGUUGGUACCUUGUACGCCCCAGCAGACUUCAUGCUGAUAGAGACUGGUACUGAUGAGAGGGCACCGAUCAUCCUAGGGAGGCCAUUCCUGAACACCUCAGGAGCUAUCAUCUACGCUAGUGCUGCCAAGAUCAGUUUCUACAUCAAGGGUAAAAAGGAGACAUUUUCAUUCAAGAACAAGACUACACAAAUCUCAGAGCAAUCCCGACAUGAACCAAGGACGAGGACCAACAGGAGGAACAGGAACAAACAAAUGUGGACUGAGUCAGCUAAGAUGGUCACUGCAGUUCAAGGAGGUCAAGAUCGUCGACUUAAGUCACCGUUCCUGACCAAAAAGGACGACCCAGAUGGCAGGUUAGACAUUCCGAAAGGUUGAAGGUUAUUGACAUGGGAGAAGACAAGUACAAUCCACCCAUCAUGCUUGGAAGACCGUUCCUCAGCACCGUUAAAGCAAUCAUCUACAUUAGAACCAGAGAAGUCCACAUGCAUUAGCCCUCUGAGAAGGUACGCCACUAUUUUACUGACCCUAACUAUAUAGUUGAAGACUCUAAGCAGGUCAGGACAAAAAGAAGACGACGCAACCGCAACCAGAAGAGGCAAAUCAUCAAGGACGGAUGGGCAGACUACGAACGAGAAGUGGUAUGGUCUGAAGACAUACAGCUUGAAUAGAACUGUCCUGAGGAGACCGUAGCUCCGAGUCAGGUGUGUAGAGAGAAGAUAGUUAUACACGAAGAGGAGGCGCCGCCGGAACCACCGACUACGCCAUCCAGCGAAUCCCAGGACGACUGAGAAAACGGAGAGUCCCGUUCGGAGGACUUAAAAAAACCGAACGCCUUGCCAAGAGGUAAACUUGGUUGUUAUCUUUUUCCUUUCAAUUAUUUAAAAUAGUUUGCUUAGUUAAUCAGGUUCAUAUCAUCUUGAAAAGAAAAUAAAAAUGUUAAGUAAGCCCCAUGUGAGUAUGCUCAUGGCAUAAAACCCAUAAGUACAUUCACUGUGGUGGCAUAGAAAUAAAAUAAAUAUAUUCCUGUCCUAUAAAAAUAAAAUAUAAAAAUAAGAUUGUGAUCCUACUAAAAAGAGUGUAACAUUUAUUGAGAAGGCUCAACAUGAUAAAGGCUAGGUAUUUAUGCUAACACUUAACCAGUUCCACAAAGCUUUGUUGUCUAUUUGAGCUCCACAGAAUUCAAGGAUCAAAGAAGACUAGCUUCUGACAUUCAAAUACACCUCCGCCAGGGUGCUUCUGACAUUCAAAUACACCUCCGCCACCUGCUAGCUACAUUAGAAGAAACUACGUCAAAAUCCAGCUUUGGGGAGAGCACCCCCAUUUAUCCAGCUAAGUAUUCUACUCAUGUUUAUACUUUACUCUAAUAAUAAAAAGAUGCAUAAUCAUAAAAACCCAAAUAAAGAUUUUGUGCUUAUUUAUAUCUUUGCUUAGUUUGCUAAAUAAAUAAAUAAAUAAAGUCUGCUAUGAACCCUCAUGAUAAGCUCUCACAUGGAAAUGAUGAAUAGUUGCUCUACCAUGACUAGUUCUCAAAAUUGAAAUCUCUCUUAAGUUUAGGCAUGACUGUUAUUAAUUAAGAUUUGCUCUAAACCUGAACUUGUGGGAAGAGUACUUGAUCUAAAGUCUAAGUUGUUAACGGAUAUGAUAUGGGAAGGUUGAGCUGCUCUUUAUCUGUUCCUAGAGAUGCUAGAAUUCUGGAGAAUUUUAUCUUUGAAAAUCUUUAAAAUGUUGCAUGAUGAGUUCCUGUAUGAUGAGAGUUUAAAUUCCUACCACAGCCAUAUAUACAUGCUUGCUAGACUUUGAGCCACACAUUUACUUUUUACUGCUUAUGAGCAUUGAGUGUGGUCAAGCUGUGUGGACCCUUAGGAGCUUGUCAUGUGGUUAAAUCAAGAUUCACUUGCACGUUCACUCACACAUGCUGCUUCUACUCUGGAAGUACGCAUCCACUUAUAUCCACCCAUUUCCAUCUCCAGAACCACCCAAAAAUAUUCUACUCCUAAUCCGGGAGAGAAUAGCCAAAAACAUUUCUGUUUUCCCCUGUGAAAUAAAUGCUCAAGUUAUCUUGGUUACUACCACUUGCUAUAUUAUUUCAAGAGAUGAGUGCUCCAAAAAAAGAGAAAAAAAAUAAUACGAGGAAAUAAAAAGGGGCAAGUGCCCGGAACCUCGAAAGAAAAGAAAAAGGGAGACGAGAGGUAAAAAUGGACAAGUGUCCGACAGUAGAAUUAGGGGUACAAGAUACCCACCUGAGAGAAAAGAAAAAAAAGAAGAAAAUAUAGAGCAUCUCAUUCUCCUCUUCAAUAGAGCAAGAAAGGUAUGUAUCCCCUCAAAAGAGCAAAAGUAGAAUUAGACUUUCACCAUUGUUAUCACCAUCAUUACCAUACACCAUUCAUUCGCCACAUAUGCACAUCUUGAUUUGACUUAUUGACUUGUUUCUCUGGAUCCAUGGUUUGACUAUGCAAUAAAUGUCUUGUAAGUAUGUAUACUUUAUCUCCCACCUAUGAGCUCCAGAUAUCAAAAGCCUUAUUAGAGUAGGAUGAGAGAGAAGGCAAUGUCACUAUGCCUUAUACCACAAAUACUACAUACUUUGAGAGAAGGCAUAUACUAUCACUGCCUUGGUAAGGAUCAAGAAAUACCACAAAAGAGAGACUAGAGAGAGUCAUACAAGGAAUCUCUGAGUUUUAUUUGAAAAUCUGCAAAAACUCCAGAGCUAUAGUUAAUCGAAGAACAAGAGACAUGGCGCUUGACUAGACCUUUCUAUCUUUUAACCGCUCAAGACACAGGUGACGGUUGCAAGCCCCAUGGUUGAAGGUAAAAUGAGUAAGUUUAAAUCUUAACAGUUUACCCUAACCCAGAGAUGAGAUCUUGUUUGAACGCAUGUAUAUCUUAAGGCAUGAAACCAUUGCAGAAACUCUUGAGUCCAUCUUUGCUCAGGGACGAGCAAAGGUUAAGCUUUGGGGAGCUUGUUGACGGUCCUUAAAGCUCACAUUUAACCGUCAACUAAUCAUAGAAAAGGAUCCAAAUGCAACCAACACCUAGACUUAGGGUUUUAUCUGACAGAAUUCCACGAGUUUUGGUGUUUGUCUAUUUCUGCAGGGGGUUAUCAGGAAAUACGAAAGAAAGGCCCACACGUCGGGUUUACAUAGAGAUAUUAAUGUGCCGCGCAAUUUUCUAUCAUCUAGAAGACUCCAGAAGCCACGGGAACGAACGGGAGGCCGAUCGGGCCCGGGGGCAGGGCGCCCGCCCAAGUCCCUUGGGUGCCCGCCCAGCUAUAGUAACCAAUCAGCUUCAACUUCGCGGAUCGUGCUCCACCGACCUAAGGGACCAAGGAAAACCAUGCGAUUAAUGUCGGUUUGAUCCUACGGCCCUGAUUCAUCUAAAAAGACUAUAUAAGCAAGGCCCCCUGGCCCCUGGAGAGAAAACCUCUUCUACAGAAUCAAAGUUAGGGUUUCAAUUCUUCAUCCAAGUAGAGAGGAUCCCUCUAGUUCUUCUAGUUCUACCUCUAGUUCAUCUAGAUCUAGUUCUAGUUCAUCUAGUUCUAGUUCUAGUUCUUCUAGUUAUAGUUCUAGUUCGUUCUAGUUGUAAUCUAGAAAAUAGGGAGAGAGAAGAGGAGAGCGGAGGAGGAGCCGGAUCUGUCGGAUCUUCCUCAACAUUGUACUUUUGCAGCAACUGGUUCG